UACGUAGGCAGCAAGCGUUGUUCGGAGUUACUGGGCGUAAAGGGUGUGUAGGCGGUUGCUUAAGUUUGGUGUGAAAUCUCCCGGCUCAACUGGGAGGGUGCGCCGAAUACUGAGUGACUCGAGUGCGGGAGAGGAAAGUGGAAUUCCUGGUGUAGCGGUGAAAUGCGUAGAUAUCAGGAGGAACACCCAUGGCGAAGGCAGUUCACUGGCAGUCUCCUGACGCUGAGGCGCGAAAGCGUGGGUAGCAAACAGG
This 253-nucleotide ribosomal RNA is filed under the name uncultured bacterium. Its description in RNAcentral is "partial 16S ribosomal RNA". It matches the Rfam family "Bacterial small subunit ribosomal RNA", at positions 524 to 776 of the family's 1533-position model. The record is from RNAcentral.